Non-coding RNA from Cebus imitator (Panamanian white-faced capuchin), 472 nucleotides. Lineage: Eukaryota; Metazoa; Chordata; Mammalia; Primates; Cebidae. The record is from the annotation of a RefSeq genome assembly.
UUCAGGAAGCACAGUGGGAAUCUGCACCAUGCCUUGGGCUCCUCUCCUCCUGACCUUCCUCACUUACUCUGCAGUGUCAGUGGUCCAGGCAGGGCUGACUCAGCCAUCCUCAGUGUCCGAAGGCUUGAGACAGACAGCCACACUCACCUGCACCGGGAACAGCAACAAUGUGGGCAAUGAGGGAGCAGCAUGGCUGCAGCAGCACCAGGGCCACGCUCCCAAACUCCUGUCCUACAGGAAUAACAACCGGCCCUCGGGGAUCUCAGAGAGAUUCUCUGCAUCCAGGUCAGGAAACACAGCUUCUCUGACCAUCACUGGGCUCCAGCCUGAGGACGAGGCUGACUAUUACUGCUCAGCAUGGGACAGCAGCCUCAGUGCUCACACAGUGCCUCAGAUCAGUGGGGAAAUGAGACAAAAACUCGAGAGCUCUCCAGGCCUCACUGAGCACAGGGGGACCUCACAGUUUUACUGA